UUCUCAAAAGUCUAUGUCCCAGUGUUCACUGUGUAUUUUGACAUAAAGCUUGUCCUGGAGUUGCAUGGAUAUGAAGUGGUGAAGGAAGCUCUAAUUGAUCAUGGAGAGGAGUUUUCUGGAAAAGGUAUUUUCCCAGUAUCCAAAAAAAGCUAGUAAGGAGUUGGUACAUGUGUGUCAGUGUGUGGAUCAUUUUUAGCAAUGGAAAGAGAUGUAAGGAUAUCUGGCUCUUCUUGCUCAUGACGCUGUGGAAUUGUAGGAUGGUGAAGAGG
RNAcentral lists this long non-coding RNA (269 nucleotides) under Homo sapiens (human). RNAcentral describes it as "non-protein coding lnc-CYP2C8-1:1". The record is from RNAcentral. Lineage: Eukaryota; Metazoa; Chordata; Mammalia; Primates; Hominidae.